AGCAGAUAAAAGCUCUAGAGUUCAUUUCAAGUGUGGUAUUUGCAUUUGGAAUAUGUUGAGGUCAACUCUCAAUAUGAAGUCUAAAGAGCUGUGACUAUCAGUGAAGCAAGCCGUCAUUCGGCUGAACAUUAGGUGUGGCCAAAUCAACUGUUUGGUACAUUCUUAAAAAGAAACAACGCACUGGUGAGCUCAGCAACACCAAAAGAUCUGGGAUUGUAUAAUUUCAAGUCCAUUGUGGUCGUGUACAGAACCAAAAUGAUGAAAAUUGUGUCAAUGUCCAAAUAUUUAUGGACCCAACUGUAUAUUAAGGUUUGGGUGACGACCACUUUUCUCCAUUAUCAGCGGUGAAGCGAAGCAGAUGCAUUCUUCAAGGGUGGUUUUUGAGAAGGGAGGUGUGUUAAUCUUUCACUUGGACAUGGUGACGGGGUGAGAUAAGAAAAGCAAGGCAAUGCCACAGAUGCUUUAAACGUGACAAGCUAUUCAGCAGACCAGCUUAUCUUUUAUUAAACGCCUUAAAAGGGGCAUGAGGUGCACCGUACAGUUUUUACAGGUCACAUCGUAUUGGCUUCACAGCAGGUUGUGUGUGCUGGACGUAAACCUUCCCGAACUAUUGGAGCAUGCAUAAUCAAAACCAUUCUCUAACCUGGUGUUUCCUCACUGAGUCAGUGGCUUACUGAAGAGUACAGAGGAAACUCUGGGUGGAGGAAGGAGACGGCCCCUGUCAACAAACUUAUGUGGUUAAAACUGGGUGGUGGAGUGAACUCCUUGGAAUUUACCCCAGUGUGUGAGGCAAUGAGGGACAGCCCCCUUGUUGAAGAAAACUGUGGUCUGGAUCAUAAUAUAAUAGAUUAAUGGUGUUCCCCCUUGGAGGACCCGGAGAGGGAUUACCCCCUUUUUUUUUUCCAGGGCAACACCCAUAAUAUGAAACACUUGUUGGCGGUGCAACACUUGGGGAAACGACUCCACUUCUUACAGGAGGUUUUCCCUUUGUUCCCUCUGAAACCUCUGUCUGUGUUUGUUGGCUUCUUGUCCAUCCUGAAUCUGGAUAACAUCUACGUCAAGAGUGACUAUUUUAAAAGUGAAGCCUGUUUUGCCUUUCAAAAUAAGACACUUGUUUAUACUUCAUAUUUAGAUGAAUUGCUAUCCAAACAACAAUAAGGACAUACAAAGAGGUAGAUACAAAAUGAAACAAUGAAAGCAUACAAAACUAAUAUUUUAACUAGUCAGUGAAGCCAUACAUUCACAGGUAUGUAGUACCAUACAGCCUCAGGAAUUCAAAGUAAGUGUACACAAUACAUCAAUAAUAUGUAACGCUAUACAUCUGUUAUAUUUUACUAAAUGUUAGACUACCUUUUAAUUAUCAAUGAGUUCAUUACGUUUAAAUAUUAGCCUACUGUGUUUC
Molecule: long non-coding RNA, 1402 nt
Filed under: Cottoperca gobio
Lineage: Eukaryota; Metazoa; Chordata; Actinopteri; Perciformes; Bovichtidae
Description: lncRNA (ENSCGOG00000002259.1)
Source: RNAcentral